RNAcentral lists this long non-coding RNA (433 nucleotides) under Triticum aestivum (bread wheat). RNAcentral's name for it is "long non-coding RNA (TAES_LNC009382)". The record is from RNAcentral. Lineage: Eukaryota; Viridiplantae; Streptophyta; Magnoliopsida; Poales; Poaceae.
CCCUGCAUUAUGUUGGCAACAGUCAUUCCGCUCCAUCUGCUGCUUUUCUGCCUCCUUCGGCUUCAUCUUCAGACUCAACACAGCCAGCUGCUUAUGUGCCUCACCCAAGCGCCCAUGUUCUCACUCCAGCUGCUCAGCUGGUGCCAAAUGAACCUUAUGCAUGCCCAGAUUCUCACCUUCCUGCUCCGACUGCUCAAUUCGCCGCGCCUGCUUACUAUGUGACCACAACUGCGCAUCUGUAUCAAGCAGGUUAUCAAACAUAUGGUGCAUCGCCUGCCACCUACCACUACGCCCAAGCGCCUCCUUUGCAACUUGUCUAUGUGCAAGCCCAACACCCUGUGCCAGAACAUGUUACAGACCCUGCCUGUCCCUCUGAUCCCAGCUAUGAUGCUAAUGGGAAUGAUCCGUAUCUAUUUGAUGCUGUGAAGUCUCA